This 552-nucleotide ribosomal RNA is filed under the name Triticum aestivum (bread wheat). Its description in RNAcentral is "partial small subunit ribosomal RNA". Lineage: Eukaryota; Viridiplantae; Streptophyta; Magnoliopsida; Poales; Poaceae. The record is from RNAcentral.
GGGCCCCCUCGUCAACAGUCCCAUUUGCAGACGUUCCAAGACGCCUUAGCUGACUACUUAUUAGAGGAUGUUGGAUAUAAUGGAGAUAAAUUCACAUGGUUUCGUGGGGGCUUACGCGAGAGACUUGACCGAGCGGUCUCUAAUGCCGCUUGGCUUCUGCUGCACCCGUCCGCCGGUCUUAGUAAUUUGGACAUGGGCAAAUCAGAUCACCGGCCAAUUCUUAUGGAUACCGAGUAUCUGACAGGAGUGGCAGACAGCAACCCUAUAAGUGAGAAGAAGUUUGAAAUGAGGUGUUUGGCAGAAGAAUCAGUAAAUGAUAUUGUCAACACAGCAUGGCAGAUUGCCGUACACCGUGGUUUGUGUCCUACGAUCACCGACAAACUCACGGCUGUACACUUUGAUUUGCAUUAUUGGGAUCGUAGGGUUUUGAGAAAACCGCAGGCUAGACUGAAGGCAGCUCGCCGGGAGCUUGAGAGGAUAAUGAGGGGCCCCUACUCAGACGAAGCAAGAAUGAAACAUAAAGAGUUGUCGGUGUUCAUGAAAAUCCGUUAG